This 72-nucleotide transfer RNA is filed under the name Urocitellus parryii (Arctic ground squirrel). Its description in RNAcentral is "Spermophilus parryii (Arctic ground squirrel) tRNA". It matches the Rfam family "tRNA". From Rfam's summary of the family: Transfer RNA (tRNA) molecules are approximately 80 nucleotides in length. The record is from Rfam by way of RNAcentral. RNAcentral also lists the same sequence under 1 other name. Lineage: Eukaryota; Metazoa; Chordata; Mammalia; Rodentia; Sciuridae.
UGGGGUGUGGCUCAGUGGUAGAGCGCUUGCCUAGCAUGUGUGAGGCCCUGGGUUUGAUUCUCAGCACUGCAU